GGGGAGGGGGGUGCAGCAGAUAGGGGUGGGUCGUCAGUUUUUGAGCUCUUGCAUUGGUAAAGGUGGGUCGUUCAAUUUUCAGCUACCCAUGGGGGUGGGUCAUGCUAUUUCAUAACAGGAAUUGGCACACAUUUGAGAAAUCGACAACGAAGGUAACUCCUUCCAGUUCCAAAUUAAGAACGAAAACUUUUCGAGCCGUGGCUGAAAAAGUACACUUGGCUGGUGUACAACAGAGAUGGUAAUAUGACUUAAAGUUACAAGAGCAAAGGAAAACAAUAUUAUUUUAGAUCAUUUGGUAUUAUUGUUAAGAGCUAAAUCUAAAACGUAAAUAAUUAUAAUACCACCACCUUUUGAAAUGCUCCGGCCCACUUCCCCCAUGUACUUUUUGAGAAGUCCGUAACCACGAUCUCUGAUGUUGUUUGCAGAUGUAACGGUUACACCUUUUUCGCCACUGCAUCACUCCACCCCCAAAAAGAAAGGGGCAUGCGAAGAGAAAAUAGAUCUGGAGGUAUCAGUCAACAGCAUAUUCCUGUGUUAGUUUAUUGAAGAAAUUAAUGGUUUUUUGGGCUCAUUACUAUACAAGACCAGUAAGUUUGACGGAGGAACUAAAUCCUGUUUUUUAGAUGACUCCAUCUACAGAGGAGAGGUACAGGCAGAUGACGCCUCUCAAAAGAGAAGCUUUUAAAUUGGUCAGUGCCAUUGUUAAUUACAAUUUACUAAAAAACAUAACUUCGAAAUGCCCAACAAAAAAAAAACGGACCAUCCAACUAGCUAAUGGAAUUCUUGAUGGAGGGCUGACUAACUGACCGACAACCGACCAGCCGAACGGUCGACCAACGGACUGUCUGACCGAUUGACAAACUAACUACUAACCUAACUGGUUGGGCUACCUGUGAAUUCAAACCAACUUUCUAUUUGCAUUCUCUUUCUUAAGGGUUAUUCUUCUGCCAUGAGGCUGAAACGCUCCAGGUGUACUAGAGAUAUCUUUUCAGGUGAGCUUUUGAUUUUUACUGGCCAAUGUGUUACUCCAUUGUGAUUACAUUUUACAGGAUUUAAAUGACUUCAUAUAUACUUUUCCACCAAACGACAGAUUCAGACUUGACUGUAGACGAAACAAGUGAUGAAGGUAAUUCCGUUAUCUAGAGUUUUUAUUUAACGUUUUACAAGUUGUUUUGUCUGCUGGAGACCUGUUUAGUUAAUUAUUUCGGAAGCAAAACAUGUAUUUGGAAAAUUCUUUUAAGGCUCGUUUGUUCGUCUUUUCCUCCUGUAUCACAGAGUCCGAGGUGUCAACUGAGCGAAGCGACGAACCAGGAGAAGAUAAUGGUAAUAACUUCAGUUAGAAAACUGCUCAUAAUGUAUGCAAUUUACCAGAGUUAUGGUUAACUUGAUAUCCACAUUGUUCUGAAGUUAACUGGGUUUGCACACUUUGGUCAGUAAAGGCGCGUGAUGUGUUUUAUUAUGGGAAAUGUUAAGGUUCGUUUGUUUCCGUUUUCCUCAUGUACCACAGAGGCUGCAAUGUCAGCUGAUGAACAGAGCGAGGAACCAGGAGAAAAUGAUGGUAAUAAUGUUAGUUAGAAAAUUACUCGCAGUGCAUGCAAUUCAGUAGCAGAUGGGGAUACAGUUACCGGUAUCUUUAUAAACACUUUUUUAAAGCGUAGUUUGGUCUAAAAUUGCUUAUGAAUUCUAUCAUGGAAAAUUGCACGCGUUUUUUUAAGUAACUGUUUUGUUUUAUAAACUUUAAUGGAACUUCUGAAUGACAAGCUUUUAUCGUUUUAUGUCAGGUACUGGACGUUUUUCUUUUGUAGCUGGGGCUAUUGGCGUCACAAAGAGAAUCCAUAAAGGAAGUGGCAGUAGUGAUGUUUGUCUAUUGUGCCGAGAAAGCUCACCUCCAGGAAACAAAAAGGGAGCAAUCGACUGGGUUGAGUGUACCGACUGCCUUCAGUGGUACCACUUGUAGUCGAUGUGCAGGCUUGAAGUCCGAGCCACCUAGUGACUGGUGUUGCAGCGACUGCUUGCUGGAGAAAAUGGCAUAGUCAAGAUGUGCUGAUAUCAAAUAAAAAUAAAAGAGUGAACAGGGUUAAUUUUGUCUUCUUCCUGUCUUACGUAUAACUGCUAAGUCACCCCCUUCCCACAAAAGUGCGCAACAAAGGCCACAUGGGCAACAACGACAACAUAGGUAACAUGGGCCACAAGGGCAAC
Orbicella faveolata is the source of this 2199-nucleotide long non-coding RNA. Lineage: Eukaryota; Metazoa; Cnidaria; Anthozoa; Scleractinia; Merulinidae. The record is from RefSeq and is a predicted model, not a curated record.